This 440-nucleotide ribosomal RNA is filed under the name uncultured bacterium. RNAcentral describes it as "partial 16S ribosomal RNA". It matches the Rfam family "Bacterial small subunit ribosomal RNA", at positions 338 to 795 of the family's 1533-position model. The record is from RNAcentral.
CCUACGGGCGACAGCAGUGGGGAAUAUUGCACAAUGGGGGAAACCCUGAUGCAGCGACGCCGCGUGAGUGAGGAAGUAUUUCGGUAUGUAAAGCUCUAUCAGCAGGGAAGAAAAUGACGGUACCUGACUAAUAAGCCCCGGCUAACUACGUGCCAGCAGCCGCGGGAAUACGUAGGGGGCAAGCGUUAUCCGGAUAGAAUGGGUGUAAAGUGAUCGUAGACGGAAUUGCAAGUCUGAUGUGAAAAUCCGGGGCCCAACCCCGGAACUGCUUUGGAAACUGUAUAUCUAGAGUGUCAGAGAGGCAAGUGGAAUUCCUGGUGUAGCGGUGAAAUGCGUAGAUAUCAGGAGGAACACCAGAGGCGAAGGCGGCUUGCUGGACGAUGACUGACGUUGAGGCUCGAAAGCGUGGGGAGCAAACAGGAUUAGAUACCCGAGUAGUC